Ornithodoros turicata is the source of this 577-nucleotide long non-coding RNA. RefSeq lists it as uncharacterized. The transcript is spliced from 2 exons. NCBI's taxonomy places the organism in Eukaryota, Metazoa, Arthropoda, Arachnida, Ixodida, Argasidae. The record is from RefSeq and is a predicted model, not a curated record.
CAGCACAGCCGGCGCCAGUAUCGGGUUCGAAUCCGGUUGCUCCUAGGGAUAGCCACUGCGUGUGUUAAGAAGAAGAGGAAGGCAACCAGCCCAAUCCGCGUGCGCACCACGGAACAGCCCACGGUCUAAUCAGACUUGAGCACACUGCAGUCACUACACUCCCGAUGGAAGAAGUCGCGGAACUCAUACCUGAGCUGCCAGUAGGACACUCCGGCGCCGAGGUCCACAAAGAGAUCAAAGAAGAACCGCCGCCGUCACCACCGAUUUAUUCAAUCAACAACUCUGACAAAGCCAGAAGAAAUCUACGAAGAGCCAGAGGGAGUCAGCAAGAGCGUCACUCGAUGCUGGAUCCUAACUGCAUCCAUAUGCAUCUGGGUCGACGCAAACACGUCAGCCGCUCUGCAGCCCUCGCCAACGUUCACAGUCGGGUCUUCGUCAACGUCUACCACAGCCGCUUCUGCUACAGUUAUCGUCCCUCAGCACUGCGAAGAGGUGAUAAACAUACCGGAUUUCCAAGCCCUCGCUGCUUUGCCUGCUGGUCCGAUGUCCCGGAUUUACAAUAAACAAUCUUACUGUA